UCAGGAUGAACGCUAGCUACAGGCUUAACACAUGCAAGUCAGGGGCAGCAUUCUGAAAGCUUGCUUCAGAGAUGGCGACCGGCGCACGGGUGAGUAACGCGUAUCCAACCUUCCCCAUAGUAGAGGAUAGCCCGGCGAAAGUCGGAUUAAUACUCUAUGUUAUUCAAUGCGGACAUCUAAUUUGAAUCAAAGAUUUAUCGCUAUGGGAUGGGGAUGCGUCUGAUUAGCUUGUUGGCGGGGUAACGGCCCACCAAGGCUACGAUCAGUAGGGGUUCUGAGAGGAAGGUCCCCCACAUUGGUACUGAGACACGGACCAAACUCCUACGGGAGGCAGCAGUGAGGAAUAUUGGUCAAUGGACGAGAGUCUGAACCAGCCAAGUAGCGUGCAAGGAUGACUGCCCUAUGGGUUGUAAACUGCUUUUAUGCGGGAAUAAAGUCAGGUACGUGUACCUGUUUGUAUGUACCGCAUGAAUAAGGACCGGCUAAUUCCGUGCCAGCCGCCGC
This 504-nucleotide ribosomal RNA is filed under the name uncultured bacterium. RNAcentral describes it as "bacterial SSU rRNA". It matches the Rfam family "Bacterial small subunit ribosomal RNA", at positions 24 to 518 of the family's 1533-position model. The record is from RNAcentral.